UGAGCAACCUGCCCUUGACUCUGGAAUAACAGCUGGAAACAGCUGCUAAUACCGGAUACGACCUCCGAUGGCAUCAUCUGGAGGUGGAAAGCUCCGACGGUCAAGGAUGGGCUCGCGGCCUAUCAGCUUGUUGGUGAGGUAAUGGCUCACCAAGGCGACGACGGGUAGCCGGCCUGAGAGGGCGAUCGGCCACACUGGGACUGAGACACGGCCCAGACUCCG
RNAcentral lists this ribosomal RNA (222 nucleotides) under uncultured bacterium. RNAcentral describes it as "partial 16S ribosomal RNA". It matches the Rfam family "Bacterial small subunit ribosomal RNA", at positions 118 to 340 of the family's 1533-position model. The record is from RNAcentral.